RNAcentral lists this ribosomal RNA (499 nucleotides) under uncultured bacterium. RNAcentral's name for it is "partial 16S ribosomal RNA". It matches the Rfam family "Bacterial small subunit ribosomal RNA", at positions 30 to 523 of the family's 1533-position model. The record is from RNAcentral.
AUUGAACGCUGGCGGAAUGCUUUACGCAUGCAAGUCGAACGGCAGCACGGGGGCAACCCUGGUGGCGAGUGGCGAACGGGUGAGUAAUACAUCGGAACGUGCCCAGUCGUGGGGGAUAACGUAGCGAAAGUUACGCUAAUACCGCAUACGAUCUACGGAUGAAAGCGGGGGCACGUAAGGCCCCGCCCGAUCGGAGCGGCCGAUGUCAGAUUAGGUAGUUGGUGAGGUAAGGCUCACCAAGCCGACGAUCUGUAGCUGGUCUGCGAGGACGACCAGCCAAACUGGGAGUGAGACACGGCCCAGACUCCUACGGGAGGCAGCAGUGGGGAAUUUUGGACAAUGGGCGCAAGCCUGAUCCAGCCAUUCCGCGUGCAGGACGAAGGCCUUCGGGUUGUAAACUGCUUUUGUACGGAACGAAAAGGCUCUGGUUAAUACCUGGGGCUCAUGACGGUACCGUAAGAAUAAGCACCGGCUAACUACGUGCCAGCCGCCGCAGUAA